Molecule: long non-coding RNA, 566 nt
Filed under: Elaeis guineensis (African oil palm)
Lineage: Eukaryota; Viridiplantae; Streptophyta; Magnoliopsida; Arecales; Arecaceae
Description: long non-coding RNA (EGUI_LNC047442)
Source: RNAcentral
UAGUGUAGGGAUACUGAGAUGAGAGUAUGGGUGGCUGUUAGAAAAUAACUUACACUAAGCAUGACCAAGAUGAGAAACUACUUGGAUGUCUAAUCACUCGUCAGUGAUUAUCUCGAUGCUGUAGUGAUGUGAGCGGUCCUUUGAUCUGUAGUGUCAUCAGCUAUUCGUACUGAGGUUACUUAGUUUGACUACAUAUUUCUUUGAUCUUUAGCCAUUCAGAUCCUUACUGUAUAUGUUGGCUACAGUAGGUUCAGAUUCGUUAUUAGGAGUAAGAUGCACCUAGAAAGAAUCUAUCGAUCUUAGUAGAAAAGGAGAAGUCCUAUGUGAUUUGCGAGACUGAGUUUAGAAAGUCUUCAGUUAAAGCAAGUGUGAAUACUGGAAAGAUAUUUUCAUGGGAUUCAUAAGUGAACUUGAGUCUAGCCAAUCUACCAUAUGACUGAUGAUGGGGUCUGACGAGUUCUCCAUGACCUCCGUCAAGUCGGGACUCACGAUAGAAGGACUGAAUCAUAUGAUAAUUGCACCUAGAGGUUCAUACUUUCAUUCUACUAGAUUGUCACUAUAUACUG